AACGCGAAGAACCUUACCUGGCCUUGACAUGCUGAGUUCAGGCGUGGAAACACGCUGGCCCGCAAGGGCGAUCUGCACAGGUGCUGCAUGGCUGUCGUCAGCCCGUGUCGUGAGAUGUUGGGUUAAGUCCCGCAACGAGCGCAACCCUCGUGACUAGUUAAUCCCGGGCAACCGGAUUCUGGUCAGACUGCCCUGUGAAACGGGGAGGAAGGUGGGGACGACGUCAAGUCCGUAUGGCCCUUACGGCCAGGGCUGCACACGUACUACAAUGCUCACUACAGAGGGACGCAAGACCGCAAGGUGGAGCCAAUCCCUAAAAGGUAAGCCCAGUUCGGAUUGGAGGCUGCAACUCGCCUCCAUGAAGCCGGAAUCGCUAGUAAUGGCGCAUCAGCUACGGCGCCGUGAAUACGUCCCCGGGUCUUGUACACACCG
This 432-nucleotide ribosomal RNA is filed under the name uncultured bacterium. Its description in RNAcentral is "bacterial SSU rRNA". It matches the Rfam family "Bacterial small subunit ribosomal RNA", at positions 958 to 1392 of the family's 1533-position model. The record is from RNAcentral.